AACGAACGCUGGCGGCAUGCCUAACACAUGCAAGUCGAACGAGACCUUCGGGUCUAGUGGCGCACGGGUGCGUAACGCGUGGGAACCUGCCCUUAGGUUCGGAAUAACUCCCCGAAAGGGGUGCUAAUAUCGGAUAAUGUCUUCGGACCAAAGAUUUAUCGCCUUUGGAUGGGCCCGCGUUGGAUUAGCUAGUUGGUAGGGUAAAAGCCUACCAAGGCGACGAUCCAUAGCUGGUCUGAGAGGAUGAUCAGCCACACUGGGACUGAGACACGGCCCAGACUCCUACGGGAGGCAGCAGUGGGGAAUAUUGGACAAUGGGCGAAAGCCUGAUCCAGCAAUGCCGCGUGAGUGAUGAAGGCCUUAGGGUUGUAAAGCUCUUUUACCCGGGAUGAUAAUGACAGUACCGGGAGAAUAAGCUCCGGCUAACUCCGU
RNAcentral lists this ribosomal RNA (432 nucleotides) under uncultured bacterium. Its description in RNAcentral is "partial 16S ribosomal RNA". It matches the Rfam family "Bacterial small subunit ribosomal RNA", at positions 29 to 506 of the family's 1533-position model. The record is from RNAcentral.